RNAcentral lists this ribosomal RNA (979 nucleotides) under Microbacterium sp. Lad_13R-1. Its description in RNAcentral is "bacterial SSU rRNA". It matches the Rfam family "Bacterial small subunit ribosomal RNA", at positions 56 to 1046 of the family's 1533-position model. Lineage: Bacteria; Bacillati; Actinomycetota; Actinomycetes; Micrococcales; Microbacteriaceae. The record is from RNAcentral.
UGCAAGUCGAACGGUGAAGCCCAGCUUGCUGGGUGGAUCAGUGGCGAACGGGUGAGUAACACGUGAGCAACCUGCCCCUGACUCUGGGAUAAGCGCUGGAAACGGCGUCUAAUACUGGAUAUGUACCACGAUCGCAUGGUCUGUGGUUGGAAAGAUUUUUCGGUUGGGGAUGGGCUCGCGGCCUAUCAGCUUGUUGGUGAGGUAAUGGCUCACCAAGGCGUCGACGGGUAGCCGGCCUGAGAGGGUGACCGGCCACACUGGGACUGAGACACGGCCCAGACUCCUACGGGAGGCAGCAGUGGGGAAUAUUGCACAAUGGGCGCAAGCCUGAUGCAGCAACGCCGCGUGAGGGAUGACGGCCUUCGGGUUGUAAACCUCUUUUAGCAGGGAAGAAGCGAAAGUGACGGUACCUGCAGAAAAAGCGCCGGCUAACUACGUGCCAGCAGCCGCGGUAAUACGUAGGGCGCAAGCGUUAUCCGGAAUUAUUGGGCGUAAAGAGCUCGUAGGCGGUUUGUCGCGUCUGCUGUGAAAUCCGGAGGCUCAACCUCCGGCCUGCAGUGGGUACGGGCAGACUAGAGUGCGGUAGGGGAGAUUGGAAUUCCUGGUGUAGCGGUGGAAUGCGCAGAUAUCAGGAGGAACACCGAUGGCGAAGGCAGAUCUCUGGGCCGUAACUGACGCUGAGGAGCGAAAGGGUGGGGAGCAAACAGGCUUAGAUACCCUGGUAGUCCACCCCGUAAACGUUGGGAACUAGUUGUGGGGUCCAUUCCACGGAUUCCGUGACGCAGCUAACGCAUUAAGUUCCCCGCCUGGGGAGUACGGCCGCAAGGCUAAAACUCAAAGGAAUUGACGGGGACCCGCACAAGCGGCGGAGCAUGCGGAUUAAUUCGAUGCAACGCGAAGAACCUUACCAAGGCUUGACAUAUACGAGAACGGGCCAGAAAUGGUCAACUCUUUGGACACUCGUAAACAGGUGGUGCAU